CCUGCUAGAAAUUCUCACCCCAGCUAGACACUCUGAUACACACUCAGGUUUGAUGAGAACUGCACAUGGAGGUGCAGAUGGACACACACACACAUCAUGGUCAAAGAAUCUGCUUUCUACAGAUUUCAGGAGAAACACAUCUCCUACCUGUGCUUCUAGCAUCUCCUCGCCCGUGGGGGAUUCUAUUGAUGCUGAGGAUGUACCCAUCUUGAGUGGUGACUUCAUACUCCUCACUGGGGUAGCCAUUAUAGGUGAUGAUCUCACUCUGUCCGGUGAAAAUACACGAAUUAGCUCAACAUCUUCUCCAGAGGUUAUCAGAAGAAACUAGAACAAAGCAUCUGUUAUGUGAAGUCUCUGCUCAUCUUCCAGUUGCCGGAUACCUGAAGGCAACGAGGACAGGUGUCCAAGCCACAGCAACAUGAAAAGUGCUCCUACCCCAACUGGCUUCCCACAAAACAAACAAGAACAAUGAGCAGAGAACCUGAGGACCGGUUUCCAGGGACGGGAUUAUUUCCCUUGUGGACACCCAGAGGGGAAGGCACAUUGAAAUGUGUCAUCUCUUCCUUGGCUUAAAAGCAUCUCUUCCUGGACAGCCCGACCUCAUCGCAGUGCAGAGGGUCGUCCUGUAAGAGCUGCAGCCCCAUGGCCCGAGAUCGAGGUCCAGCCUCACCACUCCCAAGAUUUCUGACCUUGGGCAACUUAUUUAGCAGCUUUGUCUCUUGCUUUCCUUGUGGGCAAAAUUAGAAUAACAACGUAACCUCCCUUACAGGGUUACAGGAACGAUUAAGUGACCUACAGAGCACUAAAUACAGGUAAGCCCUUUCACUGUUUUUUCUAAUCUGAGCAAGAGCCAGAAAGGAACACCGGAGAACUUUUACCGGAACAAAUUAAUGACUGACUUCUAGAAAUUGAGAGCUUCCUUCUGAAGUUAAAUAGCUUCCCAUGUUUGCUGUCUGGUUGAAGAUAAUCUUCUAUCUGCAAACAUUAUAUAAUUUUAAAUGUUUUUAAAACUAGUGAUGGCCAAUGUCUACUGAGUGCUGAGCUUGUGCGGAGAAUGGUUCUAUAUACUUUGUGUAUGUUAUUUAAAUCUGAAAGAGGGGCGCCUGGGUGGCUCAGUUGGUUGGGCGUCUGACUUCGGGAC
Molecule: long non-coding RNA, 1141 nt
Organism: Hyaena hyaena (striped hyena)
Lineage: Eukaryota; Metazoa; Chordata; Mammalia; Carnivora; Hyaenidae
Exons: 3
Source: RefSeq, a predicted model, not a curated record